CCUACGGGCGGCAGCAGUGGGGAAUAUUGGACAAUGGGGGCAACCCUGAUCCAGCCAUGCCGCGUGUGUGAAGAAGGCCCUCGGGUUGUAAAGCACUUUCAGUGAGGAAGAACGCCUGGUGGUUAAUACCCAUCAGGAAAGACAUCACUCACAGAAGAGGCACCGGCUAACUCCGUGCCAGCAGCCGCGGUAAUACGGAGGGUGCGAGCGUUAAUCGGAAUUACUGGGCGUAAAGCGCGCGUAGGUGGCUUGAUAAGCCGGUUGUGAAAGCCCCGGGCUCAACCUGGGAACGGCAUCCGGAACUGUCAAGCUAGAGUGCAGGAGAGGAAGGUAGAAUUCCCGGUGUAGCGGUGAAAUGCGUAGAGAUCGGGAGGAAUACCAGUGGCGAAGGCGGCCUUCUGGACUGACACUGACACUGAGGUGCGAAAGCGUGGGUAGCAAACAGGAUUAGAUACCCUUGUAGUC
This 465-nucleotide ribosomal RNA is filed under the name Vreelandella stevensii. Its description in RNAcentral is "partial 16S ribosomal RNA". It matches the Rfam family "Bacterial small subunit ribosomal RNA", at positions 338 to 795 of the family's 1533-position model. The record is from RNAcentral. Lineage: Bacteria; Pseudomonadati; Pseudomonadota; Gammaproteobacteria; Oceanospirillales; Halomonadaceae.